GGCAACCACCACCUCCUCUGGCGACCCCUGGUAAGCUCCCCCCUCCUUCCUUUCUCUCUCUCUCUUUCUUCUCUCUUCCUCGAUCAAAGCUUGCAGUUUUAUGCGACGUACUUUUCUCUUGGUAGUGAUUUGGGGUUAUCUUUUUGGAAUUCUUACUGCAUUUUUUGCUAGUUUCUGCUUGUUUCCUUUAUAUUUUCAGCAGGAAUUAGAUUCCUUUGUGCUUAACAAUAUAAAAAUUCUGAACUUUCAACUGAGUUUUUCAUGUAUAUUGAACAAGAUCUGUAUAUUUGGAGUUAUUUCUUUGUAAUAUUCACUGCAUUUUAGCUUAAUUUAGUGGUGUUUUUCUCGGAACAAAAUUUUGACCCGUUUUCUCUCUGAUUUCAUCGACUCUGACGCUAAAAAAAUGAAUUUUCGAAAUUCAAAUGGGAUUUUCAAAUGAAAUUUCAAAAAAGAAAAUAAGAAGCUGUGGUUGAAAAAUUGUUGCUGCUCGUUGUUCAGAUCUGCCGUUCUGCGGUCCAGAGUUUCAGAUCUGGGUUUGGUGUGGAUCAGUUGAUUUUCCUUACAAAUAGGGCAAUCCUAGUCCAAGGUACUUGAAGCCUAGAUUCAUUUCCCUUACUAGUGUCAGGGCUAUACCAGUGGUAGCGGUGACAACCCUUUUUGGUUUUUGGAUCGGGAUAUUUGCUGUGUUUUUCAGGGGAAUUCUCGAAGUUGUUGGAGACAAUUUAGACCACGAGCACUAGCAAAGAAGAGCAACCUGGACGAGCGUAAGCAAAGAGCUGUCGGUGAGUUAACGUACAACUACUUCGAGUACAACAAUUCAACACAGGUUUGGUCCUCGAGACUUGGUACCUCCCGUUCUAUUAUUUCCCCUUUGGUGUUAGCUAAAUUGUUGUUACUUUAGUUCGCAAUAGUUCGAUCAUUCAACUAGUGUACUU
This 935-nucleotide long non-coding RNA is filed under the name Nicotiana benthamiana. Its description in RNAcentral is "long non-coding RNA (NBEN_LNC028691)". Lineage: Eukaryota; Viridiplantae; Streptophyta; Magnoliopsida; Solanales; Solanaceae. The record is from RNAcentral.